UUUGACAUGAUGUCCAAGGAAAUAAAUGACAAACAGGAUGCAAGACUGAAUGACUAAGCUUGGAAUCGGUUUGUCAACAUUUUGGAUGUUGUGGUCCCCCCUUGACAGCUUACAAAUGGAACCUGUAGGGUUCUGUUUGGUUUAAUUGCUGUACUAUCAAAGUUACUGACUUUUCAGUUAUUUUUGCUUGAUUUACGAGAAAAAAAGUUCUCAAUCCAAUUUUGUCCCUAAGUAAUUCCACUCUUCUGAGACACUGUUCAUAAUUUGUUAUAUACAGAUUGCAAAGCAGUCUCGUGUUGGGAGGGGCUAAUUUGACGACAUGCAUGUUUCCAAGAAGACCAUAGACAGACUCUACACACAAAUGUCUGACAACGUUCAAUAUGCGUGGUGGUGUGACUUGUGCAAAGAGGGCCCUCAAGAAGACUGCUCUGUUUGCACUGGUAGUCGUUUUUUUUAUAUUCGUAUUUCUAUUCCAGAGUAAUCC
This is a long non-coding RNA of Syngnathus acus (greater pipefish), 484 nucleotides long. RefSeq lists it as uncharacterized. The transcript has 3 exons. NCBI's taxonomy places the organism in Eukaryota, Metazoa, Chordata, Actinopteri, Syngnathiformes, Syngnathidae. The record is from RefSeq and is a predicted model, not a curated record.